RNAcentral lists this ribosomal RNA (535 nucleotides) under uncultured bacterium. RNAcentral describes it as "bacterial SSU rRNA". It matches the Rfam family "Bacterial small subunit ribosomal RNA", at positions 775 to 1306 of the family's 1533-position model. The record is from RNAcentral.
AGUCAAUAGAUACCCAGGUAGUCCACGCCCUAAACGAUGUCUACUAGUUGUUGGUGGAGUAAAAUCCAUUAGUAAACGCAGCUAAACGCGUGAAGUAGACCGCCUGGGGAGUACGGUCGCAAGAUUAAAACUCAGAGGAAUUGACGGGGGCCCGCACAAGCGGUGGAUUAUGUGGAUUAAUUCGAUGCAACGCGAAACCUUACCUGGCCUUGACAUGCCACUAACGAAGCAGAGAUGCAUUAGGUGCCCGAAAGGGAAAGUGGACACAGGUGCUGCAUGGCUGUCGUCAGCUCGUGUCGUGAGAUGUUGGGUUAAGUCCCGCAACGAGCGCAACCCUUGCCAAUAAUUGCCAUCAUUCAGUUGGGCACUUUAUUGGGACUGCCGGUGACAAACCGGAGGAAGGUGGGGAUGACGUCAAGUCCUCAUGGCCCUUAUGGCCAGGGCUUCACACGUAAUACAAUAGUCGGUACAGAGGGUUGCCAACCCGCGAGGGGAGCCAAUCCCAGAAAGCCGAUCGUAGUCCGGAUUGCAGUCU